UUCCACGUGGCCUACGUCUUGAUCAAGUUUGCAAACUCUCCCCGUCCUGACCUUUGGGUUCUGGAGAGAUCGGUGGACUUCGGGCAGACCUACAAGCCCUGGCAGUUCUUCGCCUCCUCCAAGAGAGACUGCAUCGAGCGUUUUGGACAGAAGACCAUCGAGAGGAUCAACAAUGACGACGACGUCAUCUGCACCACAGAGUACUCUCGAAUCGUCCCGCUGGAGAACGGAGAGAUCGUCGUGUCCUUGGUGAACGGCCGCCCCGGAGCGCUGAACUUCUCCUACUCGCCGGUCCUCAGAGACUUCACCAAGGCCACCAACAUCAAACUCAGUUUCCUGAGAACCAACACGCUGCUGGGACACCUGAUGGGCAAAGCGCUGCGUGACCC
This is a non-coding RNA of Labrus bergylta (ballan wrasse), 389 nucleotides long. The record is from RefSeq and is a predicted model, not a curated record. Lineage: Eukaryota; Metazoa; Chordata; Actinopteri; Labriformes; Labridae.